GGCCAAAUUUAUACUAUUUUUAUUUUUUCCUCUCAGCAUUUGCUGAGACUGAUAAUGAGAAUGGCGAGAAAAGUCUGCAUUGUCCCAAAGUCCCUUCGCCUACUCCUCCAGUGCCACCCCCAAAACCAGCAUUUGCUGAGACUAAUAAUGAAAAUGGUGAGACAAUUGUGCAAUGUCCCAAAGUCCCUUCACCUACUCCUCCAGUGCCACCCCCAAAACCAGUCCCAAACAAUCAAAGAUCCAGUUCCGAGCCAAACACCUACAUCAAUGUCUCAAAUGCUGGAGAGUAUGAGGUGGAUCAUGCAGCAUGUUCUCCACCUCCUGUCCUGCCACGUCUUCCAGCAGGGCGAUAUUUGCCUCAUCAGAAUUCAAUGCCUCCAGAUCUAAUCAGCAGUUCAGAUGUUGAAAGGAAACCUUUGGUACCUUCUGGCUACCCUAAAAAAAGUUCCCGAAGCAACAGCUUGUCAGGCAUGCCUAACAAUAUUCCCAAGUGUCAGCAACAACAUGUUGACAUAAGUAAGAACAAUUUUCUUGUUUUUGUGCCACUAUUUCACUCUAAAUCUUUUACUUUCAAUUUGAU
This 580-nucleotide long non-coding RNA is filed under the name Sinocyclocheilus grahami. RNAcentral's name for it is "lncRNA (ENSSGRG00000011218.1)". The record is from RNAcentral. Lineage: Eukaryota; Metazoa; Chordata; Actinopteri; Cypriniformes; Cyprinidae.